RNAcentral lists this ribosomal RNA (497 nucleotides) under uncultured bacterium. RNAcentral describes it as "partial 16S ribosomal RNA". It matches the Rfam family "Bacterial small subunit ribosomal RNA", at positions 28 to 507 of the family's 1533-position model. The record is from RNAcentral.
GAUGAACGCUGGCGGCGUGCCUAGUACAUGCAAGUCGAGCGAACGGACGAGAAGCUUGCUUCUCUGAUGUUAGCGGCGGACGGGUGAGUAACACGUGGAUAACCUACCUAUAAGACUGGGAUAACUUCGGGAAACCGGAGCUAAUACCGGAUAAUAUUUUGAACCGCAUGGUUCAAAAGUGAAAGACGGUCUUGCUGUCACUUAUAGAUGGAUCCGCGCUGCAUUAGCUAGUUGGUAAGGUAACGGCUUACCAAGGCAACGAUGCAUAGCCGACCUGAGAGGGUGAUCGGCCACACUGGAACUGAGACACGGUCCAGACUCCUACGGGAGGCAGCAGUAGGGAAUCUUCCGCAAUGGGCGAAAGCCUGACGGAGCAACGCCGCGUGAGUGACGAAGGUCUUCGGAUCGUAAAACUCUGUUAUUAGGGAAGAACAUAUGUGUAAGUAACUGUGCACAUCUUGACGGUACCUAAUCAGAAAGCCACGGCUAACUACGUG